RNAcentral lists this ribosomal RNA (249 nucleotides) under uncultured Actinomycetales bacterium. RNAcentral describes it as "partial 16S ribosomal RNA". It matches the Rfam family "Bacterial small subunit ribosomal RNA", at positions 84 to 334 of the family's 1533-position model. The record is from RNAcentral. Lineage: Bacteria; Bacillati; Actinomycetota; Actinomycetes; Actinomycetales.
GGGGUGCUCGAGUGGCGAACGGGUGAGUAACACGUGAGUAACCUGCCCUUGACUUUGGGAUAACUUCAGGAAACUGGGGCUAAUACCGGAUAGGAGCUCCUGCUGCAUGGUGAGGGUUGGAAAGUUUCGGCGGUUGGGGAUGGACUCGCGGCUUAUCAGCUUGUUGGUGGGGUAGUGGCUUACCAAGGCUUUGACGGGUAGCCGGCCUGAGAGGGUGACCGGCCACAUUGGGACUGAGAUACGGCCCAG